Molecule: ribosomal RNA, 649 nt
Filed under: Actinomyces sp. oral taxon 175
Lineage: Bacteria; Bacillati; Actinomycetota; Actinomycetes; Actinomycetales; Actinomycetaceae
Description: bacterial SSU rRNA
Rfam family: Bacterial small subunit ribosomal RNA
Source: RNAcentral
AUGGGCGCAGCCUGAUGCAGCGACGCCGCGUGAGGGAUGGAGGCCUUCGGGUUGUAAACCUCUUUCGCCAGUGAAGCAGGCCUGUCCCUUUUGUGGGUGGGUUGACGGUAGCUGGAUAAGAAGCGCCGGCUAACUACGUGCCAGCAGCCGCGGUAAUACGUAGGGCGCGAGCGUUGUCCGGAAUUAUUGGGCGUAAAGAGCUCGUAGGCGGCUGGUCGCGUCUGUCGUGAAAUCCUCUGGCUUAACUGGGGGCUUGCGGUGGGUACGGGCCGGCUUGAGUGCGGUAGGGGAGACUGGAACUCCUGGUGUAGCGGUGGAAUGCGCAGAUAUCAGGAAGAACACCGGUGGCGAAGGCGGGUCUCUGGGCCGUUACUGACGCUGAGGAGCGAAAGCGUGGGGAGCGAACAGGAUUAGAUACCCUGGUAGUCCACGCCGUAAACGUUGGGCACUAGGUGUGGGGGGCCUUUUCCGGGUCUUCCGCGCCGUAGCUAACGCAUUAAGUGCCCCGCCUGGGGAGUACGGCCGCAAGGCUAAAACUCAAAGGAAUUGACGGGGGCCCGCACAAGCGGCGGAGCAUGCGGAUUAAUUCGAUGCAACGCGAAGAACCUUACCAAGGCUUGACAUGUGCCGGUCGGCUCCGGGGACGGGG